UACAGAGGUGGCAAGCGUUGUUCGGAAUUACUGGGCGUAAAGGGCGCGUAGGCGGUCUUGCAAGUCCCGUGUGAAAUCCCUCGGCUCAACUGAGGAACUGCACGGGAAACUGCUUGGCUUGAGUUCGGGAGAGGGAAGCGGAAUUCCGGGUGUAGCGGUGAAAUGCGUAGAUAUCCGGAGGAACACCGGUGGCGAAGGCGGCUUCCUGGACCGACACUGACGCUGAGGCGCGAAAGCCAGGGGAGCAAACGGG
Molecule: ribosomal RNA, 253 nt
Filed under: uncultured bacterium
Lineage: Bacteria
Description: partial 16S ribosomal RNA
Rfam family: Bacterial small subunit ribosomal RNA
Source: RNAcentral